GGAAACCUUGUUACGACUUCUCCUUCCUCUAAGUGAUAAGGUUCACUAGAUUUCCCAACGCUUAACCUGGAAAACCAAGUAGAGCAUCGGUCCAAAUUAUUCACCGGAUCACUCAAUCGGUAGGAGCGAC
This 130-nucleotide ribosomal RNA is filed under the name uncultured Syndiniales. RNAcentral's name for it is "partial 18S ribosomal RNA". The record is from RNAcentral. Lineage: Eukaryota; Dinophyceae; Syndiniales.